GCCUAAAGCGUCCGUAGCCUGCUCUGUAAGUUUCCGGUUAAAUCCAUUAGCUUAACUGAUGGGCCGCCGAAAAAACUGCAAAGCUAGGGAGUGGGAGAGGUAGACGGUACUCGGUAGGAAGGGGUAAAAUCCUUUGAUCUAUCGAUGACCACCAGUGGCGAAGGCGGUCUACCAGAACACGUUCGACGGUGAGGGAUGAAAGCUGGGGGAGCAAACCGGAUUAGAUACCCGGGUAGUCCCAGCUGUAAACGAUGCAGACUCGGUGAUGCCCUGGCUUGUGGCCAGUGCAGUGCCGCAGGGAAGCCGUUAAGUUUGCCGCCUGGGAAGUACGUACGCAAGUAUGAAACUUAAAGGAAUUGGCGGGGGAGCACCACAAGGGGUGAAGCCUGCGGUUCAAUUGGAGUCAACGCCAGAAAUCUUACCCGAAGAGACAGCAGAAUGAAGGUCAAGCUGGAGACUUUACCAGACAAGCUGAGAAGUGGUGCAUGGCCGUCGCCAGCUCGUGCCGUGAGAUGUCCUGUUAAGUCAGGUAACGAGCGAGAUCCCUGCCUCUAGUUGCCACCAUUACUCUCAGGAGUAGUGGGGCGAAUUAGCGGGACCGCCGCAGUUAAUGCGGAGGAAGGAAGGGGCCACGGCAGGUCAGUAUGCCCCGAA
Molecule: ribosomal RNA, 654 nt
Filed under: uncultured archaeon
Lineage: Archaea
Description: bacterial SSU rRNA
Rfam family: Archaeal small subunit ribosomal RNA
Source: RNAcentral